CCCUUAGAUGUCCUGGGCCGCACGCGUGCUACACUGACGCCUACAGCGAGUACUUCCCAGCCCCGAGAGGUGGCUGGUAAUCAGCAAUAGGCGUCGUGAUGGGGAUAGAUCUUUGGAAUUAUGGAUCUUGAACGAGGAAUGCCUAGUAAGCGCAGGUUAUUAGCCUGCGCUGAUUAAGUCCCUGCCCUUUGUACACACCGCCCGUCGCUCCUACCGAUUUCGAGUGGUCCGGUGAAUCUUUCGGACUGCGCGCGGCCUCGUGCCGUGUCGCGGAAAGUCAGGUAAACCUUAUCACUUAGAGGAAGGAGAAGUCGUAACA
This 319-nucleotide ribosomal RNA is filed under the name uncultured eukaryote. RNAcentral describes it as "partial 18S ribosomal RNA". It matches the Rfam family "Eukaryotic small subunit ribosomal RNA", at positions 1470 to 1796 of the family's 1831-position model. The record is from RNAcentral.